This is a long non-coding RNA of Miniopterus natalensis, 918 nucleotides long. RefSeq lists it as uncharacterized. The record is from RefSeq and is a predicted model, not a curated record. Lineage: Eukaryota; Metazoa; Chordata; Mammalia; Chiroptera; Miniopteridae.
GAUGAAACGAGAGGAGGCAGAGAGGAACCUUUUGAUGUAGUGACUCCGAGAGUGGGCUCUACUGUCAGAGAGACUUGGGUUCAAAUCGGGCAAGUUACUAACCCAGGCUAUCAACAAAGAGCUAACACUAUGCCUGCAAAGAGCCAACGAUCAAUAAAUAGUAACUGUUACUAAUUAUCACUCGUGACUGUAGGACCAUCUGUCUAUAUCCAGGCUGAUCUGGACCUAGAUUGGAGGACAGCUUUCAGGAAAAGCAAGGACAACACGCUGUCCCUCUAAGACAGUCCAGUUUCUCGAAAUGGCUAUAUUUAUGGUAAAUCAAGGAGAUUGAUUUUUAUGAAAUGAGGAACAGCUCCCCUGCUGAGAGAAACACACCUUGGAAGAGCCUGACCCUCAGCAAAAAUCCAUCCCCAAGUGCGACAAGAAAGGGAAGAGUUUUGAUGGCCUUCCUGAAGAGCAAGCUUCAGCUUCCAACAAGAUGGAGGAAGGGGCCCCAAGCCAAGGAGUGUGUGCAGAUUCUGGAAGCAAGAAAAGGGAAGGAAAUGGAUUUUCCAGAGAGGAACACCACCCUGACAAUUCCCUGAUAUUAGUCCAGAGAGACCCAUGUCAGACUUCUGAUCUCCAGCACUGUAAGGUCCUAGAUUGGGUUAUAUUCAAUCAUCAAGGACUUAUGAACAGGGAUGUGGCAUUUCGUAACUCCAGGGUUCCCCUUCCCGCGUGAAUGAGGCUCCUAUGCAAUGGUGGCCCUGCUUAUGGAACUCCUACCACAGGCCAGGCACAGCGGAGGAAUCCAGGUCCUCGCAGCUGAUCACUGAGAACAGAAAGCCAACAGUACUACUGCUCCGAAUAUCACACGGCACUUAAAAGGAGCUGGUUUACCACGCACCACGACAUGCCUGUGGGUGCUGGCUCCACCGU